Molecule: ribosomal RNA, 612 nt
Filed under: Chenopodium album (lamb's quarters)
Lineage: Eukaryota; Viridiplantae; Streptophyta; Magnoliopsida; Caryophyllales; Amaranthaceae
Description: eukaryotic LSU rRNA
Rfam family: 5.8S ribosomal RNA (bases 225-380)
Source: RNAcentral
AACCUGCCCAGCAGAGCGACCAGAGAACGUGUUUAUCAUGAACGGGGUAGGGGUGAAAGCCCCUUCCUCGAGCGGGGGAAUCGCUUCGCCUCGGCGGGGCGUCCUCCCCGGCACAAUAACGAACCCCGGCGCGGUCUGCGCCAAGGAACAUCAAUACAAGUGUGCCCUUCCGCAACUGGUUCGCCGGUCGCGGACGUGGCACCAAGUCGUAUAUAACAUUAAACGACUCUCGGCAACGGAUAUCUCGGCUCUCGCAUCGAUGAAGAACGUAGCGAAAUGCGAUACUUGGUGUGAAUUGCAGAAUCCCGUGAACCAUCGAGUCUUUGAACGCAAGUUGCGCCCGAAGCCAUUAGGUAGAGGGCACGCCUGCCUGGGCGUCACGCAUCGCGUCUCCCCCCACCACCAUGUGUGGAAGGGGCGGAGGAUGAUGGCCUCCCAUGCCUCACCGGGCGUGGAUGGCCUAAAUAAGGAGCCCCCGGUUACGAAGUGCCGCGGCAAUUGGUGGAAUACAAGGCCUAGCCUAGGACGAAACGGUAGUCGUGCACAUCGUAGCUGUUGAGGACUCGUAGGACCCUUUCUUGUUUGCCCCUAGGGGCGGCAAAACCGUUGCGA